This 429-nucleotide ribosomal RNA is filed under the name Chloroflexota bacterium. Its description in RNAcentral is "Chloroflexi bacterium partial 16S ribosomal RNA". It matches the Rfam family "Bacterial small subunit ribosomal RNA", at positions 355 to 776 of the family's 1533-position model. The record is from RNAcentral. Lineage: Bacteria; Bacillati; Chloroflexota.
UGGGGAAUAUUGCACAAUGGGCGCAAGCCUGAUGCAGCCAUGCCGCGUGUAUGAAGAAGGCCUUCGGGUUGUAAAGUACUUUCAGCGGGGAGGAAGGGAGUAAAGUUAAUACCUUUGCUCAUUGACGUUACCCGCAGAAGAAGCACCGGCUAACUCCGUGCCAGCAGCCGCGGUAAUACGGAGGGUGCAAGCGUUAAUCGGAAUUACUGGGCGUAAAGCGCACGCAGGCGGUUUGUUAAGUCAGAUGUGAAAUCCCCGGGCUCAACCUGGGAACUGCAUCUGAUACUGGCAAGCUUGCGUCUCGUAGAGGGGGGUAGAAUUCCAGGUGUAGCGGUGAAAUGCGUAGAGAUCUGGAGGAAUACCGGUGGCGAAGGCGGCCCCCUGGACGAAGACUGACGCUCAGGUGCGAAAGCGUGGGGAGCAAACAGG